GGAAGUUAUCGGGUGGCAGCAGAGUUGGAAUGGGAUAGGUAGUUCCCCGUUUCCAGGACCCCAGACGGCCUGCUGGGACAGUGUAUAUGAGUCCGGAAUGGGCUGGACCAGGGUCAGGCUAGCCCAGACUUCAGGUUGCUGCAAAGGCCAUUAUUUUGUUCCUUUUUCUGGCUGAGUCAUAUUCCAUGGAGGAAGCACUCAAUUGAACAAGUGCAGGAACCAGCUGGCUGCCUCAGCACUGACAGAAGCAAAUUCCAUUUGCUUGGACCCACUGCAUUCCAUCCCUUGUGGAAGAGAGCAUGUAAGCAAGUGAGUGCAGGAACUGGCUGGCUGCUUUGGUGCUGGCAGGAGCAAACACCAUGAAGGCCCCAUGGCAGAGUCCAGGACAGGACCUUCAGGCCUCUGAAAAAAAAAGGAUCAAAGAACUGAAACUCACCAGAUCACCUCACCAGAUGCUGGACCCCUCAUUCACCAUGUUUGCUUCCUUGCCUCUCCCUAGUUCUUAUUUUCUUACACAUUGUUACAUUUCUUCCCUGCUAUAUCAACCCCUAGUUCUAGUCAGUCAUGGAGAUGGAUUUGAGACUGAUCUCCCAUCCCCUCAGCUACACCACCUGAUUAAAGCCUUCUUCCUUGGCAAUAA
Molecule: long non-coding RNA, 640 nt
Filed under: Homo sapiens (human)
Lineage: Eukaryota; Metazoa; Chordata; Mammalia; Primates; Hominidae
Description: novel transcript
Source: RNAcentral